RNAcentral lists this ribosomal RNA (781 nucleotides) under uncultured Corynebacterium sp. RNAcentral's name for it is "bacterial SSU rRNA". It matches the Rfam family "Bacterial small subunit ribosomal RNA", at positions 70 to 867 of the family's 1533-position model. Lineage: Bacteria; Bacillati; Actinomycetota; Actinomycetes; Mycobacteriales; Corynebacteriaceae. The record is from RNAcentral.
AAAGGCCUUUUCGGAGGUACUCGAGUGGCGAACGGGUGAGUAACACGUGGGUGAUCUGCCCUGCACUCUGGGAUAAGCCUGGGAAACUGGGUCUAAUACCGGAUAGGACCGCACUUUAGUGUGUGUGGUGGAAAGUUUUUUCGGUGUAGGAUGAGCCCGCGGCCUAUCAGCUUGUUGGUGGGGUAAUGGCCUACCAAGGCGGCGACGGGUAGCCGGACUGAGAGGUUGGUCGGCCACAUUGGGACUGAGAUACGGCCCAGACUCCUACGGGAGGCAGCAGUGGGGAAUAUUGCACAAUGGGCGCAAGCCUGAUGCAGCGACGCCGCGUGGGGGAUGACGGCCUUCGGGUUGUAAACUCCUUUCGCCAGGGACGAAGCGUUUUGUGACGGUACCUGGAGAAGAAGCACCGGCUAACUACGUGCCAGCAGCCGCGGUAAUACGUAGGGUGCAAGCGUUGUCCGGAAUUACUGGGCGUAAAGAGCUCGUAGGUGGUUUGUCACGUCGUCUGUGAAAUUCCACAGCUUAACUGUGGGCGUGCAGGCGAUACGGGCUGACUUGAGUACUGUAGGGGUAACUGGAAUUCCUGGUGUAGCGGUGAAAUGCGCAGAUAUCAGGAGGACACCGAUGGCGAAGGCAGGUUACUGGGCAGUUACUGACGCUGAGGAGCGAAAGCAUGGGUAGCAAACAGGAUUAGAUACCCUGGUAGUCCAUGCCGUAAACGGUGGGCGCUAGGUGUAGGGGCCUUUUGGGGUUUCUGUGCCGUAGCUAACGCAUUAAGCGC